AAUUCCAAGCUUAACGCGAAGAACCUUACCAGGUCUUGACAUCCUCUGACAACCCUAGAGAUAGGGCUUUCCCUUCGGGGACAGAGUGACAGGUGGUGCAUGGUUGUCGUCAGCUCGUGUCGUGAGAUGUUGGGUUAAGUCCCGCAACGAGCGCAACCCUUGAUCUUAGUUGCCAGCAUUCAGUUGGGCACUCUAAGGUGACUGCCGGUGACAAACCGGAGGAAGGUGGGGAUGACGUCAAAUCAUCAUGCCCCUUAUGACCUGGGCUACACACGUGCUACAAUGGACAGAACAAAGGGCUGCGAGACCGCAAGGUUUAGCCAAUCCCACAAAUCUGUUCUCAGUUCGGAUCGCAGUCUGCAACUCGACUGCGUGAAGCUGGAAUCGCUAGUAAUCGCGGAUCAGCAUGCCGCGGUGAAUACGUUCCCGGGCCUUGUACACACCGCCCGUA
This 451-nucleotide ribosomal RNA is filed under the name Bacillus sp. MGB13. Its description in RNAcentral is "bacterial SSU rRNA". It matches the Rfam family "Bacterial small subunit ribosomal RNA", at positions 948 to 1398 of the family's 1533-position model. The record is from RNAcentral. Lineage: Bacteria; Bacillati; Bacillota; Bacilli; Caryophanales; Bacillaceae.